AGUGAACGCUGGCGGUAGGCCUAACACAUGCAAGUCGAACGGCAGCACAGUAAGAGCUUGCUCUUACGGGUGGCGAGUGGCGGACGGGUGAGGAAUACAUCGGAAUCUACUUUUUCGUGGGGGAUAACGUAGGGAAACUUACGCUAAUACCGCAUACGACCUACGGGUGAAAGCAGGGGAUCUUCGGACCUUGCGCGACUGAAUGAGCCGAUGUCGGAUUAGCUAGUUGGCGGGGUAAAGGCCCACCAAGGCGACGAUCCGUAGCUGGUCUGAGAGGAGGAUCAGCCACACUGGAACUGAGACACGGUCCAGACUCCUACGGGAGGCAGCAGUGGGGAAUAUUGGACAAUGGGCGCAAGCCUGAUCCAGCCAUACCGCGUGGGUGAAGAAGGCCUUCGGGUUGUAAAGCCCUUUUGUUGGGAAAGAAAAGCAGCAGGUUAAUACCCCGCUGUUCUGACGGUACCCAAAGAAUAAGCACCGGCUAACUUCGUG
This 492-nucleotide ribosomal RNA is filed under the name uncultured bacterium. RNAcentral's name for it is "partial 16S ribosomal RNA". It matches the Rfam family "Bacterial small subunit ribosomal RNA", at positions 29 to 507 of the family's 1533-position model. The record is from RNAcentral.